CCUACGGGAGGCUGCAGUGAGGAAUAUUGGUCAAUGGGCGUAAGCCUGAACCAGCCAAGUCGCGUGAGGGAUGAAGGUUCUAUGGAUCGUAAACCUCUUUUUAAGGGAAUAAAGUGCGGGACGUGUCCCGUUUUGUAUGUACCUUAUGAAUAAGGAUCGGCUAACCCCGUUCCCGCAGCCGCGGUAAUACGGAGGAUCCGAGCGUUAUCCGGAUUUUUUGGGUUUAAAGGGUGCGUAGGCGGCCUUUUAAGUCAGCGGUGAAAGUUUGCGGCUCAACCAUAGAAUUGCCGUUGAAACUGGGAGGCUUGAGUAUAGUAGAGGCAGGCGGAAUGCGUGGUGUAGCGGUGAAAUGCUUAGAUAUCACGCAGAACCCCGAUUGCGAAGGCAGCCUGCCAGGCCAUGACUGACGCUGAUGCACGAAAGUGUGGGGAUCAAACAGGAUUAGAUACCCUGGUAGUC
RNAcentral lists this ribosomal RNA (459 nucleotides) under uncultured bacterium. Its description in RNAcentral is "partial 16S ribosomal RNA". It matches the Rfam family "Bacterial small subunit ribosomal RNA", at positions 338 to 795 of the family's 1533-position model. The record is from RNAcentral.